GUGUCAGCAGCCGCGGUAACACGUAGGGACCAAGCGUUGUCCGGAUUUAUUGGGCGUAAAGAGCUCGUAGGCGGUUCAGUCAGUCGGGUGUGAAAUCUCCGGGCUCAACCCGGAGGGGCCACCCGAUACUGCUGGACUAGAGUUCGGUAGGGGAGCGGGGAAUUCCUGGUGUAGCGGUGAAAUGCGCAGAUAUCAGGAGGAACACCGGUGGCGAAGGCGCCGCUCUGGGCCGACACUGACGCUGAGGAGCGAAAGCGUGGGUAGCAAACAGGAUUAGAUACCCUGGUAGUCC
Molecule: ribosomal RNA, 292 nt
Filed under: uncultured bacterium
Lineage: Bacteria
Description: partial 16S ribosomal RNA
Rfam family: Bacterial small subunit ribosomal RNA
Source: RNAcentral